UGUGUUUUGUUUCUCCAAAAUCAAAACUGAUACUGAUCAGGUGCACAAUAGCUGUGAAGGAUGCAGCCUCUGAAUUGGGAUACAGCUGUAGUGUUAUACAGUAUGUUCAUCUGUUUAUAUCACGCUGAGUUUAUUUCACAAGUUAAACUAAAUAUUUAUCUGCAGCCUGAUAUCAUUUUAAUGACCCAUGAGUCAAGGGCAAGAAAACAGGCAGAAAACCUCAUAGUGAUUGACGUUGUUCCGCUUGUCCUAAAAAUCUAUUGGCUGGAAUUUACAACCUUGACACUGGAAAAUAUUUCAUGCUCAAUCCUGAAGAAGAUGUUUUCAGUCAAAGUCCAAACAUGCGGACUGUACUUCUUCUGCUCCUUGGAGUUUGUCUCGCCUGUGCAGGUGAGUACUAUAAAAACACACUCUCUGAAAUACUUCUUUACUGCUGUGUCUGGAGACAUUGACUUCCCAGAGUUCACUAUUGUUGGUCUGGUCGAUGAAGGGCAGUUCAUUUACUUUGACAGCAACACAAUGAAAGUUGUGCCGAAGACAGAGUGGAUGAGACAGAAAGAAGGAGACAGUUACUGGGACACACAAACGCAGCUUGCAGCUGGAACUCACCAGGCAUUCAGAAACAACAUCCAAGUCGCAAAAGAACGGUUCAACCACUCAACAGGUGUGCACACAUUCCAGGAAAUGUACGGCUGUGAAUGGGAUGAUCACAUUGGAGCAACAGAUGCAUUCCGCCAGGAAGGUUAUGAUGGAGAGGACUUUCUGUCUCUGGAUUUUAAGGAGAUAAGAUGGAUUACCCCAGUGCAGCAAGGAUUUCCCAGCGCACAGAAGUGGAACAAUGACAGAGCUAAUCUUAAGGGUAAUAAAAAUUACCUCAGCACUGUGUGUAUUGAGUGGCUGAAGAAAUAUCUGGAGUAUGGAAAGAGCAGCCUGCAGAAAACAGUUUCUCCUCAGGUGUCUCUGUUGCAGAAGGAUCCCUCCUCUCCAGUGACGUGUCAUGCUACAGGAUUUUACCCCAGAGGAAUAGUAAUCUCCUGGAUGAAAAAUGGACAAGAUCAUUAUGAGGAUGUGGAUCUUGGUGAACUUCUUCCUAAUGAGGACAGAACCUUCCAGAAGAGAAGCACCCUCAGUGUUACACCUGAUGAGUGGAAGAAGAACGAGUUCAGCUGUGUGGUGGAACAUCAGGGCAAAACCGUGACAGAGAAAAAGAUCAGGACUAACAAUGACCCAACAGAAACAUCUGUUCCCAUUGCCAUGAUUGUUGGUGCUGUCGCUGCUGUCAUCCUGUUGGUUGUCAUUGGUGCUGUUGGGUUUAUCGUGUAUCAGAUAAAAAAAGGUUGUUUUUCAGGCUUUAAACCUGUCAAGCCCUCUGAUGAUUCCUCUAGUCAAAGAAGCACCAACACCCUAAUAUCUUCUGGCAGUGGAUCUAGCACCUCAAGUUAGACAUCUCAUGGCCUUAUAUAUGUCACAACGUGACUGAGAGAACUGAUCCUGACAAAUAAUGUCCAGCCUUCUGCCAUAGAUCUCUCAGAGAGACGAACACAAACACAUUCUCUUCUUCUCUCUUUCUCUCUCUCUCUGACAUGUCAUAACAUGUCAUUGUUUUUUUUUUUAGUUGUUUUUUUUUUUUACUUAUUAUCCAGUGCUAAAAAGUCUUUUCUUUCUUAAAAAGACUAAACUGUGGCACCAGAAAUAAGAUGAAACAGUGCAAAAACAAAUCAUUUUCAGUCAAAUACAGGUUAAAACCAUAUUAAACAGCCCUAAUAUUCUAUACAGAAUUAACAUGCACAAGCAAACAUACAAUAAAAGGCUUUUCAAUUCACAUAUCACUAAUCUUACAAACAUUGAUCUCACAUUUACUUUGAUAACACAAACUGUAGGUGCAUUGGUUUUGGGCAAAAAAUAUUGUAAGUUCACACUUAUUUUAUUCUAUUAUAUUGUAUUUUAUUACCCCUGUGAUGGACUGGCCAUCUGUCCAGAGUCAGGAGAGCACUUUAAUAAUGAGAUGUGAAUUUGGGUUGUGCAUUUUGCAACGUCCCCUGUUGCUUAAAAACAAUUAUUUUCACAUUAUAAUUAAAAUUAGAAAAAAAACUUUAUUCAUUUAAAUUUAUCCUUAAAUCAAAUGUCAACAUUGACUUCGAAUUCCUCACAAAUUCAUCAAAUACACAGCUAAGCUGAACACCCUUUAUGUAGUAAGAUUUAUAUUUUAAUUGGAUACAUUAAACAAGAAUCAUGUAGAAAUGUCCCCAUACUACUACUUAAUUAUUAAAUACUACAUUCUCUAGGGGGAAAAUCUUACUCACUAAAAAAACAAAGCCAAAAAUAAAGUUAUAAAUCACAUAAACACAAAUGUGUAUAAACAUAUACAAAGAAACAUAAGCAUACAGACAAAACAAUCCUGAAACUUAAACUUAUUUUUCUUAUGUAGCACAAUUCAACUAUUUACAAUCACAGCUACACCUCUUCUUUCACCGCCUUCUCUAGCAACCUUGUCUUGAACUGUUGUGAAAAAUAUGGAAUAGUCCAAUCUCACCUAAAAACAGGGGUGUUUGGGUGAAUCUAUGAGCUGAAGAUGGGUCUUUUUACAAUUGAUACUCUCCUGUUCAGAAUUUUUUAGUACAGAUAGAAAUAAAAUACAUUCAACUAUUCUGA
Ctenopharyngodon idella (grass carp) is the source of this 2652-nucleotide RNA transcript. It is a transcript of the gene named major histocompatibility complex class I-related gene protein, with no coding region annotated. NCBI's taxonomy places the organism in Eukaryota, Metazoa, Chordata, Actinopteri, Cypriniformes, Xenocyprididae. The transcript is spliced from 12 exons. The record is from RefSeq and is a predicted model, not a curated record.